This 413-nucleotide ribosomal RNA is filed under the name Blastocystis sp. Its description in RNAcentral is "SSU rRNA". Lineage: Eukaryota; Bigyra; Opalinata; Blastocystidae. The record is from RNAcentral.
AUUUUACUUUGAAACUGCGAAUGGCUCAUUAUAUCAGUUAUAGUUUAUUAGAAAUACUUUACUACUUGGAUAACCGUAGUAAUUCUAGGGCUAAUACAUGAVUAAAWCCUCAACUUCGGAAGAGGUGUGUUUAUUAGUAUGAAAACCAUAUAUCUUCGGAUAUAAUAGUGAGUAAUAAUAACCUUUCRUAUCGUAUGUCGUAAGAUAACGAUAGUUCUUUCAAGUUUCUGCCCUAUCAGCUUUCGAUGGUAGUAUAUGGGACUACCAUGGCAGUAACGGGUAACGAAGAAUUUGGGUUCGAUUUCGGAGAGGGAGCCUGAGAGAUGGCUACCACAUCCAAGGAAGGCAGCAGGCGCGUAAAUUACCCAAUCCUGACAUAGGGAGGUAGUGACAAUAAAUCACAAUGCGGAACU